Molecule: transfer RNA, 73 nt
Filed under: Camelus bactrianus (Bactrian camel)
Lineage: Eukaryota; Metazoa; Chordata; Mammalia; Artiodactyla; Camelidae
Also listed under: 2 other names
Rfam family: tRNA
About the family: Transfer RNA (tRNA) molecules are approximately 80 nucleotides in length. Their secondary structure includes four short double-helical elements and three loops (D, anti-codon, and T loops).
Source: Rfam by way of RNAcentral
GAGGGUAGGGCUUAAGUGGUAGAGCACAUGCCUAGUACACACAAGGUCCUGGGUUCAAUCCCCAGUACCCCCU